GUUCUCACUCUGUCACCCAGUGGCCCAGGCUGGAAGGCAAUGAUGCAAUGAUGUGAUCACAACUCACUGAAGCCUUGAACUCCUGAACUCAAGAGAUCCUCCCUUCAGCCUCCCGAGUAGCCAGGACUACAGUUGCAGUUGGAUUAGAGUCAAAAAUUCCAGAGCAGCAGGCCCAAGGAAGAAUAACAGUAUGCAGAAAUGAGGCAUUUGGCUGCUUAAGAAAUCAAGAGAGGGGCACACAAACAGAUCUGCUUCAGAAAGCUACAGCAGAGGCAUCUGUCAUUAUUACUGUGAAGACAUUCAUGCUUGGAGGUGAAGCAAUUGUCUCAUGAA
Pan troglodytes (chimpanzee) is the source of this 333-nucleotide long non-coding RNA. RefSeq lists it as uncharacterized. The transcript is spliced from 3 exons. NCBI's taxonomy places the organism in Eukaryota, Metazoa, Chordata, Mammalia, Primates, Hominidae. The record is from RefSeq and is a predicted model, not a curated record.